RNAcentral lists this ribosomal RNA (492 nucleotides) under uncultured bacterium. Its description in RNAcentral is "partial 16S ribosomal RNA". It matches the Rfam family "Bacterial small subunit ribosomal RNA", at positions 29 to 507 of the family's 1533-position model. The record is from RNAcentral.
AGUGAACGCUGGCGGUAGGCCUAACACAUGCAAGUCGAACGGCAGCACAGUAAGAGCUUGCUCUUACGGGUGGCGAGUGGCGGACGGGUGAGGAAUACAUCGGAAUCUACUUUUUCGUGGGGGAUAACGUAGGGAAACUUACGCUAAUACCGCAUACGACCUACGGGUGAAAGCAGGGGAUCUUCGGACCUUGCGCGAUUGAAUGAGCCGGUGUCGGGUUAGCUAGUUGGCGGGGUAAAGGCCCACCAAGGCGACGAUCCGUAGCUGGUCUGAGAGGAUGAUCAGCCACACUGGAACUGAGACACGGUCCAGACUCCUACGGGAGGCAGCAGUGGGGAAUAUUGGACAAUGGGCGCAAGCCUGAUCCAGCCAUACCGCGUGGGUGAAGAAGGCCUUCGGGUUGUAAAGCCCUUUUGUUGGGAAAGAAAAGCAGCAGGUUAAUACCCCGCUGUUCUGACGGUACCCAAAGAAUAAGCACCGGCUAACUUCGUG